RNAcentral lists this ribosomal RNA (276 nucleotides) under uncultured Spirochaeta sp. RNAcentral describes it as "partial 16S ribosomal RNA". It matches the Rfam family "Bacterial small subunit ribosomal RNA", at positions 1106 to 1382 of the family's 1533-position model. The record is from RNAcentral. Lineage: Bacteria; Pseudomonadati; Spirochaetota; Spirochaetia; Spirochaetales; Spirochaetaceae.
CGCUGUCUGUUGCCACCACGAGAGGUGGGGACUCAGGCGGAACUGCCGGUGACAAACCGGAGGAAGGUGGGGACGACGUCAAGUCAUCAUGGCCCUUAUGUCCUGGGCUACACACGUGCUACAAUGGCCGGUACAGAGCGCAGCGAGGCCGCGAGGCGGAGCGAAUCGCUUAAAGCCGGUCCCAGUACGGAUUGGAGUCUGCAACCCGACUCCAUGAAGUUGGAAUCGCUAGUAAUCGCGCAUCAGCAUGGCGCGGUGAAUACGUUCCCGGGCCUU